GAGGUUAAGCCAAUCCCAUAAAACCAUUCUCAGUUCGGAUUGCAGGCUGCAACUCGCCUGCAUGAAGCCGGAAUCGCUAGUAAUCGCGGAUCAGCAUGCCGCGGUGAAUACGUUCCCGGGCCUUGUACACACCGCCCGUCACACCACGAGAGUUUGUAACACCCGAAGUCGGUGGGGUAACCGUAAGGAGCCAGCCGCCUAAGGUGGGACAGAUGAUUGGGGUGAAGUCGUAACAAGGUAGCCGUAUCGGAAGGUGCGGCUGGAUCACCUCCUUUCUAAGGAA
RNAcentral lists this ribosomal RNA (283 nucleotides) under Bacillus timonensis. RNAcentral's name for it is "partial 16S ribosomal RNA". It matches the Rfam family "Bacterial small subunit ribosomal RNA", at positions 1259 to 1533 of the family's 1533-position model. Lineage: Bacteria; Bacillati; Bacillota; Bacilli; Caryophanales; Bacillaceae. The record is from RNAcentral.